CAGCACCUCAAGUGGUCAGGAUGAUUAUUGGGCCUAAAGCAUCCGUAGCCUGCUUUGUUAGUUUUCGGUUAAAUCCAUACGCUCAACGUAUGGGCUGCCGGGAAUACUGCAAAGCUAGGGAGUGGGAGAGGUAGACGGUACUCGGUAGGAAGGGGUAAAAUCCUUUGAUCUAUUGAUGACCACCUGUGGCGAAGGCGGUCUACCAGAACACGUCCGACGGUGAGGGAUGAAAGCUGGGGGAGCGAACCGGAUUAGAUACCCGCGUAGUCC
Molecule: ribosomal RNA, 270 nt
Filed under: uncultured archaeon
Lineage: Archaea
Description: partial 16S ribosomal RNA
Rfam family: Archaeal small subunit ribosomal RNA
Source: RNAcentral